UGUCGUUUGNACGUAACUCAGCAGAAGAAGGCACGGGCUAAAUUCGUGUCCCGCACAGCGCGCGUAAAUAGUGGAGUGGUGCAGCGCUUUAAUCGAAAUUUUUGGGGUGUAAAGGCGCAGCGCGGCGCGGUCUUCAGUGUCGAUAUGAAAAUCCCCGGGUCUCAACGUGGAGAGUCCAUUGGAAACGGGCAGGCUAGAGUAGAAGAGAGAGAGGUAGAUUUCCAGGUGUAGCGGAAAAUGUAGAGAGAUGGGGGGAAUACAGGUGGAAGGGCGGCCCCCUGGACAAAGACUGACGCUCGAGUGAAAAGUGUGGAGAGCAACACAGGAUUAGAUACCUGGGUAGUCACACGCCGUAAACGAUGUCGACUUGGAGGUUGUGGUUUUGAGGCGUGGCUUCUGGAGCUAACGCAUUAAGUCGACCGCCUGGGGAGUACGGCCGCAAGGUUAAAACUCAAAUGAAUUGACGGGGGCCCGCACAAGCGGUGGAGCAUGUGGUUUAAUUCGAAGCAACGCGAAGAACCUUACCUAGUCUUGACAUCCUGAGACAAUUCCAGAGAUGGGAUGUUGCCUUCGGGAACUGUGAGACAGGUGGUGCAUGGUUGUCGUCAGCUCGUGUUGUGAAAUGUUGGGUUAAGUCCCGCAACGAGCGCAACCCUUAUUCUUUGUUGCCAGCGGUCAGGCCGGGAAUUCAAAGGAGACUGCCAGUGAUAAACGGGAGGAAGGUGGGGAGGACGUCAAUUCUUCAUGCCCCUUUGGCGUAGGGUUACCCACGUGUUCCAAUGGCGCACAAAAGAGAAGGAACCUCGGGAGAUCAAGCAAUCCUCAUAAACUGCGUCGUAGUCCGGAUUGGAUUUUGCAAUUGGAUUCCAUGAAGUCGGAAUCGUUUGUAAUCGUAUUCAGAAUGCCACGGUGAAUACGUUCCCGGGCCUUACACACAGCCCCGUCACCCCAAGGAGUGGAACCAAAAGAAGUAGGUAGGUUAACCUUCGGGACCAGGCUACGCACUUGAU
Molecule: ribosomal RNA, 1010 nt
Filed under: Enterobacter cloacae
Lineage: Bacteria; Pseudomonadati; Pseudomonadota; Gammaproteobacteria; Enterobacterales; Enterobacteriaceae
Description: bacterial SSU rRNA
Rfam family: Bacterial small subunit ribosomal RNA
Source: RNAcentral